RNAcentral lists this microRNA (23 nucleotides) under Ornithorhynchus anatinus (platypus). RNAcentral's name for it is "oan-miR-7412-5p". The record is from miRBase by way of RNAcentral. Lineage: Eukaryota; Metazoa; Chordata; Mammalia; Monotremata; Ornithorhynchidae.
UCGGGAGAGGACAGGACAGUAGA